GGCGAACGGGUGAGUAACACGUGAGUAACCUGCCCCAGACUCUGGGAUAACCCCGGGAAACCGGAGCUAAUACCGGAUAUGACACCAGGUCGCAUGGCCAUGGUGUGGAAAGUUUUUCGGUCUGGGAUGGACUCGCGGCCUAUCAGCUUGUUGGUGAGGUAGUGGCUCACCAAGGCGACGACGGGUAGCCGGCCUGAGAGGGCGACCGGCCACACUGGGACUGAGACACGGCCCAGACUCCUACGGGAGGCAGCAGUGGGGAAUAUUGCACAAUGGGCGGAAGCCUGAUGCAGCGACGCCGCGUGAGGGAUGACGGCCUUCGGGUUGUAAACCUCUUUCAGCAGGGAAGAAGCGCAAGUGACGGUACCUGCAGAAGAAGCACCGGCUAACUACGUGCCAGCAGCCGCGGUAAUACGUAGGGUG
RNAcentral lists this ribosomal RNA (423 nucleotides) under Terrabacter ginsenosidimutans. RNAcentral's name for it is "bacterial SSU rRNA". It matches the Rfam family "Bacterial small subunit ribosomal RNA", at positions 97 to 534 of the family's 1533-position model. Lineage: Bacteria; Bacillati; Actinomycetota; Actinomycetes; Micrococcales; Intrasporangiaceae. The record is from RNAcentral.